GACGGAGGGUGCUAGCGUUGUUCGGAAUUACUGGGCGUAAAGCGCACGUAGGUGGCGACGUAAGUCGGGUGUGAAAGCCCCGGGCUCAACCUGGGAAUUGCAUUCGAGACUGUGUUGCUGGAGUACGGGAGAGGAGGGCGGAAUUCCCGGUGUAGCGGUGAAAUGCGUAGAUAUCGGGAGGAACAUCAGUGGCGAAGGCGGCCCUCUGGUCCAGUACUGACACUCAAGUGCGAAAGCGUGGGGAGCAAACAGG
RNAcentral lists this ribosomal RNA (253 nucleotides) under uncultured bacterium. Its description in RNAcentral is "partial 16S ribosomal RNA". It matches the Rfam family "Bacterial small subunit ribosomal RNA", at positions 524 to 776 of the family's 1533-position model. The record is from RNAcentral.